Priapulus caudatus is the source of this 155-nucleotide long non-coding RNA. RefSeq lists it as uncharacterized. The record is from RefSeq and is a predicted model, not a curated record. NCBI's taxonomy places the organism in Eukaryota, Metazoa, Priapulida, Priapulimorpha, Priapulimorphida, Priapulidae. The transcript is spliced from 3 exons.
GGUGUGAUGAGGUGUGAUGUUAGACAGCAUGUAUGGUGUGAUGAGGUGUGAUGUUUGACAGCAUGUAUGGUGAGAUGAGGUGUGAUGUUAGUAAGCAUGUAUGGUGUGAUGAGGUGUGAUGUUAGUAAGCAUGUAUGGUGUGAUGAGGUGUGAUG